CCUUUGGGUGGGGAAUAACUCAGGGAAACUUGAGCUAAUACCGCAUAAUGCAGCGGCUCGACAUCGAGACAGUUGUUAAAGCGGGGAUUGGAGCAAUCCGACCUCGCGCCUAAAGAGAAGCCUGCGGCAGAUUAGCUAGUUGGUAAGGUAAUGGCUUACCAAGGCUACGAUCUGUAACCGGCCUGAGAGGGCGGUCGGUCACACUGACACUGACAUACGGGUCAG
Molecule: ribosomal RNA, 225 nt
Filed under: uncultured bacterium
Lineage: Bacteria
Description: partial 16S ribosomal RNA
Rfam family: Bacterial small subunit ribosomal RNA
Source: RNAcentral